RNAcentral lists this ribosomal RNA (497 nucleotides) under uncultured bacterium. RNAcentral describes it as "partial 16S ribosomal RNA". It matches the Rfam family "Bacterial small subunit ribosomal RNA", at positions 28 to 507 of the family's 1533-position model. The record is from RNAcentral.
GAUGAACGCUGGCGGCGUGCCUAAUACAUGCAAGUCGAGCGAACAGACGAGGAGCUUGCUCCUCUGACGUUAGCGGCGGACGGGUGAGUAACACGUGGAUAACCUACCUAUAAGACUGGGAUAACUUCGGGAAACCGGAGCUAAUACCGGAUAAUAUAUUGAACCGCAUGGUUCAAUAGUGAAAGACGGUUUUGCUGUCACUUAUAGAUGGAUCCGCUCCGCAUUAGCUAGUUGGUAAGGUAACGGCUUACCAAGGCAACGAUGCGUAGCCGACCUGAGAGGGUGAUCGGCCACACUGGAACUGAGACACGGUCCAGACUCCUACGGGAGGCAGCAGUAGGGAAUCUUCCGCAAUGGGCGAAAGCCUGACGGAGCAACGCCGCGUGAGUGAUGAAGGUCUUCGGAUCGUAAAACUCUGUUAUUAGGGAAGAACAAAUGUGUAAGUAACUAUGCACGUCUUGACGGUACCUAAUCAGAAAGCCCCGGCUAACUACGUG